Molecule: ribosomal RNA, 488 nt
Filed under: uncultured bacterium
Lineage: Bacteria
Description: partial 16S ribosomal RNA
Rfam family: Bacterial small subunit ribosomal RNA
Source: RNAcentral
GACGAACGCUGGCGGCGUGCUUAACACAUGCAAGUCGAACGAAAAUACCAAGCUUGCUUGGUUGAUUAGUGGCGAACGGGUGAGUAACACGUGAGUAACCUGCCCCUUACUUUCCUGGAUAACUGCUCGAAAGGGUAGCUAAUACGGGAUAUUCUGACCAGCCUGCAUGGGUUGGUUUGGAAAGGUUGUUUUUCUGGUAAGGGAUGGGCUCGCGGCCUAUCAGCUUGUUGGUGGGGUGAUGGCCUACCAAGGCUUUGACGGGUAGCCGGCCUGAGAGGGUGGACGGUCACACUGGGACUGAGAUACGGCCCAGACUCCUACGGGAGGCAGCAGUGGGGAAUAGUGCACAAUGGGCGCAAGCCUGAUGCAGCGACGCCGCGUGAGGGAGGAAGGCCUUCGGGGUGUAAACCUCUUUCGUCAGGGAACAAGGCACUGCUUUUGUGGUGGUGUUGAGGGUACCUGGAGAAGAAGCGCCGGCUAACUACGUG